This is a non-coding RNA of Microcebus murinus (gray mouse lemur), 110 nucleotides long. The record is from Rfam. NCBI's taxonomy places the organism in Eukaryota, Metazoa, Chordata, Mammalia, Primates, Cheirogaleidae.
GAGAGACAGCGGAUUUACAUCCCAGCUGCCGUUGCAGAAUCUAGUCAUGUACUUUUUUCCCUUUCCUUCUCUUUCUCGGAGUCAGAACAGAGCUGAGGGGGCGAAGGAGG